Molecule: long non-coding RNA, 996 nt
Organism: Papaver somniferum (opium poppy)
Lineage: Eukaryota; Viridiplantae; Streptophyta; Magnoliopsida; Ranunculales; Papaveraceae
Exons: 2
Source: RefSeq, a predicted model, not a curated record
UCCCUCACACAUAAAAAAAAAAGCGACUACCCAAAUGAGAAAAACACUGAAAUACACACUAUAAAUCUAUCACUAGAAACCAAAUCCUGCGAAAAUAGUCAGAACAAGGACCAUCGACUUGCCAAGAACACCAAUGGAAGGAAUAGCAGCACUGUUUUUGGGAGAUGCAGGUGUAUUUGCUGGUGCGCUUGAAGGUGAUGCAGCAGGUGAUGUAGCUGAUGAGGCAGUUGUCAAACGAGCAACCCGGAUAUCAACUUUCUGACCUUGCUGGCAAUGAUCAGGAAAGCCACAGAGGCCUGGUACUGAGGGUGAGUUACUUGCAUCACAUUGUGGUACUGAGUCUUGUAUGUGAACACUACAUGUUAUGAACAAACCAGAAGCAACUUCAGUAAAACGUAAGCAAAGAGUAGGGACAUACAACAGCUGGAGAAGACGAUUAAUGUAUUUGUUAGACUACUUAUCCAAAUCUAUCACAUUCAAUGAUGUCUACAUUAUUCAUCCAGCGCCGAAGUAUAGUCCAGUCAAGUGUUCUAAAAACCAAAUAUCACAUACAUGUGAGAGAGAGACAAAGUUUUCUCCACUUGUAGAAUGGCGUUCAUAUUAGGGCAAGUACAUAGGGUGUGGGGCCGCGAAGCACGUUCUUGUUUGGCCAUGGAGAAAUAAGACAUGAUAUCCCACUAAAGUUUGAGGACCAUAUCCAUUCAGGGUUCAUUCAAGUGGGUGGACACCAUUUCCAUUACCACAACAAAAUAUUGAGGAAACAGUGACUAAACUAAACAGUAUACGCACAAGGAAAACAACAGCAUGAGCAUAAAACAAAUUAGAAAAAGUGAAUAGGAUGCCGACAGUGUAAGCAUGUUUGUAACUUGAGCAUGAGAAGCAUUGAAUCCAUCAUUACUUUUCAUUAGUAUAUGUUUUCUUUUUACCGAUUAGUUAAAUCUAAGAAUGAAGUAAAAUACAGUGAUAGAGAAUAUAUUAAUCAUGUUGUUAUGAAAA